RNAcentral lists this ribosomal RNA (762 nucleotides) under uncultured Peptostreptococcus sp. RNAcentral's name for it is "bacterial SSU rRNA". It matches the Rfam family "Bacterial small subunit ribosomal RNA", at positions 28 to 776 of the family's 1533-position model. Lineage: Bacteria; Bacillati; Bacillota; Clostridia; Peptostreptococcales; Peptostreptococcaceae. The record is from RNAcentral.
GAUGAACGCGGGCGGCGUGCCUAACACAUGCAAGUCGAGCGAGGGUUUGCUCAGUAUUGAGUAUUCUAAGUCUAGAAUGUUCAAUUCUGAGCAAAACCAAGCGGCGGACGGGUGAGUAACGCGUGGGUAACCUGCCCUAUACACAUGGAUAACAUACUGAAAAGUUUACUAAUACAUGAUAAUAUAUAUUUGCGGCAUCGCAGAUAUAUCAAAGUGUUAGCGGUAUAGGAUGGACCCGCGUCUGAUUAGCUAGUUGGUGAGAUAACUGCCCACCAAGGCGACGAUCAGUAGCCGACCUGAGAGGGUGAUCGGCCACAUUGGAACUGAGACACGGUCCAAACUCCUACGGGAGGCAGCAGUGGGGAAUAUUGCACAAUGGGCGAAAGCCUGAUGCAGCAACGCCGCGUGAACGAUGAAGGUCUUCGGAUCGUAAAGUUCUGUUGCAGGGGAAGAUAAUGACGGUACCCUGUGAGGAAGCCCCGGCUAACUACGUGCCAGCAGCCGCGGUAAUACGUAGGGGGCUAGCGUUAUCCGGAUUUACUGGGCGUAAAGGGUGCGUAGGUGGUCCUUCAAGUCGGUGGUUAAAGGCUACGGCUCAACCGUAGUAAGCCGCCGAAACUGGAGGACUUGAGUGCAGGAGAGGAAAGUGGAAUUCCCAGUGUAGCGGUGAAAUGCGUAGAUAUUGGGAGGAACACCAGUAGCGAAGGCGGCUUUCUGGACUGCAACUGACACUGAGGCACGAAAGCGUGGGUAGCAAACAGG